This 253-nucleotide ribosomal RNA is filed under the name uncultured bacterium. Its description in RNAcentral is "partial 16S ribosomal RNA". It matches the Rfam family "Bacterial small subunit ribosomal RNA", at positions 524 to 776 of the family's 1533-position model. The record is from RNAcentral.
UACGUAGGGUGCAAGCGUUAAUCGGAAUUACUGGGCGUAAAGCGUGCGCAGGCGGUGAUGUAAGACAGAUGUGAAAUCCCCGGGCUCAACCUGGGAACUGCAUUUGUGACUGCAUCGCUGGAGUACGGCAGAGGGGGAUGGAAUUCCGCGUGUAGCAGUGAAAUGCGUAGAUAUGCGGAGGAACACCGAUGGCGAAGGCAAUCCCCUGGGCCUGUACUGACGCUGAGACGCGAAAGCGUGGGGAGCAAACAGG